AAUGAACGCUGGCGGCGUGGUUAAGACAUGCAAGUCGAACGGUUUUUGUUGUGUAGCAAUACAUAACAAAAGACAGUGGCGAACGGGUGCGUAACACGUGAACAAUCUACCUUCAAAUGGGGAAUAGCUCGCCGAAAGGCGAAUUAAUACCGCAUGUGGUUGCCUCUCGCAUGAGAAGCAUACCAAAGUCAGGGACCGCAAGGCCUGACGUUAGAAGAGGAGUUCGCGGCCUACAGCUAGUUGGCGAGGUAACGGCUCACCAAGGCUAAGACGGGUAGCUGGUCUGAGAGGAUGAUCA
This 298-nucleotide ribosomal RNA is filed under the name uncultured bacterium. RNAcentral describes it as "partial 16S ribosomal RNA". It matches the Rfam family "Bacterial small subunit ribosomal RNA", at positions 29 to 306 of the family's 1533-position model. The record is from RNAcentral.